UACGUAGGGUGCGAGCGUUGUCCGGAAUUACUGGGCGUAAAGAGCUCGUAGGUGGUUUGUCGCGUUGUUCGUGAAAACUCACAGCUCAACUGUGGGCGUGCGGGCGAUACGGGCAGACUGGAGUACUGCAGGGGAGACUGGAAUUCCUGGUGUAGCGGUGAAAUGCGUAGAUAUCGUAAGGAAGACCAGUGGCGAAGGCGGAUCUCUGGACAGUUACUGACACUGAGGCACGAAGGCCAGGGGAGCAAACGGG
RNAcentral lists this ribosomal RNA (253 nucleotides) under uncultured bacterium. RNAcentral's name for it is "partial 16S ribosomal RNA". It matches the Rfam family "Bacterial small subunit ribosomal RNA", at positions 524 to 776 of the family's 1533-position model. The record is from RNAcentral.